Molecule: long non-coding RNA, 391 nt
Filed under: Homo sapiens (human)
Lineage: Eukaryota; Metazoa; Chordata; Mammalia; Primates; Hominidae
Description: HSALNT0308170
Source: RNAcentral
AGAAAGGGAGGAAAGGGAGUAGAGAAGGCCACACACAAUCUUAAAUUCAAUAUUUCACUCCCGUUAAAGAUAAGCUGUUUAUAAGCUCCAGUGUAGGGCAUGUAAUUCUAUGUAAAAACUCUGUGGUUCCUCUUCCCACAUGUAAAUCAUGAUCACUCUACAUUCUGCUCUCUGGGAGCCCUCAAGGCAAAGAGACAACAAGACUCGAGACCACAGAAAGGACUUAUCACAAGUCUUUGUGGUAGCUGAGGAGUGCCCCCUACAGACUGAUAUGCACAAUGCAAGCAGAUGAAGAGGAAAGAACUGAGCAGCAGUAUUUCAGGAUUCUCAAUAAGGCAUCAAUGAAAAAAGGCAUUCCUGAUUAAAAAAACAUAGAAAGACAAUCCAGAGA